GACAAGAUGGGAAAAGUUUGGUCCUCGUCUCAGGUUCUUCUGAGGGUUGAAGAAAGGGCGGGCCCUGUGCAGAAGAGGCCAGUAGGUGGGUGCUGCACUGAUGUUGACAGAUGUGAGUUUGGCUUUGGCAAAGCUGCACUUGGGUGUACAUUCCCAGCUGGAGCCAUCCCCCGUGUGGGCAUCUGUGCAGUGCUUAGGAAUGGGGCCAUGGGUUCUGGCCAGAAAUGCUCCUGCGCUUGGUGGCUGAGCCAGUCUUGACUUCCUCUGCACUCUGGAGAGUAAGCUCCGGGAGGGCCUGCCUGGGCCUCACACACAGCAGUGGGAAUGAAGAAACAUUCUGCCGCUGCUUCCCGACUCCCACCCAGACCCCUCCCUCACUGGGUGUGCUGAUGAAUGGAGCACCCCCAUCCAGGCCUCCAAGUGACCUUCUUCCCCAGCCUCUCAGCAGAUGCCUUCAGUUUACCAAACAGGCCACCGUGAGCUGUUUUAGUUCUUCUGUUGAAGAGCCAGACCCCUGGAGGAAGGCUGGGCAGGGGUCUGGGGCAGGAGGUGGGUCAAGGACACCUGCAGGUUGACAGGGUAUUGGGCAGGAGGAACCAGACCCACCUCUGAACACUUGUCUCCAGCGUCUUCCUCCCUGACGGCCCUGGUGUCUUGUCCUUCCUGGAUCCAAACAAUACAGCAUGUUGAAUAUACCCUCUGAAAUAAUAUGCUGGCAAACCCCUCCAAGAACAGGCUGAGGACCCACGAUGCCAGCAUGUGCGCCAUGACACAGCCAUCUGACUCCUCGAGGAGCUUCUUCAUGAGAACAUCAAGGUUGAGGAGGUUGGAAGCACAGCGGGUGUUCCACAGUUGCACACUCAAUGGCCCAUGUGGUGUUACUGUGUCUGAGUGUGGCCUGUAACCUAUGCCCACCUGUCAGGGCCUGGCAGGAAGGGAAUUCUUACCAGACUUGGACAUCAAACACUGGAUUCCCCCACCGGGCCCUGUGCCAACUUCCUUUCUCCUCUGGGAGAGCCUGGCCACAACAAGGCUUUCAUACCUGUCUCCCUUCUCUCUAAGACCCCUCCUCGGCCAAAGCACAGGAGCUCUGGCCUUGCAGGUCCGGUGACCCAUGGGUGUCUUUGCCUGGGUGACCCCUGAAAACCUGCAGGGUUGUCCGUCAGGCUGAGCUCAUCACCUGCCCUGGCCUGCCCCGCCCUCUUUCCCUCUUCUCUGUCAGUGGAAGCCCACCAGCCAGGUUAGAUACCUGACCUCACCUUCUCCCUCUCCUUCCACACCCAAUGUAUCCCCUUUGACCUCUGACUCGAACCCUCAUCUAUCCUAAAGGAAGCACUUUCACAAUGCUGGUGGGAAGGUGAACUAGUGUAUCCACUAUGGAAAACUGGAGAUUAAGAACUGAGAGUAGAACUACCAUUUGAUACAGCAACCCCACUGCUGGGUAUCUACCCAGAGGAAAAUAAGUCAUUGUAUGAAAAAGACCCUUGCAGCACAACUCACAAUUGCAAAAAUGUGGGACCACCACAAAUGCCUAUCCAUCGGUGAGUGAAUAAAGACUGUGGUAUAUGUACCUGAUGGAAUAGCAGUCAGCCAUAAAAAGGAGUGACUCGGUGGCAUUCACAGAAACCUAUGGAACUGGAGCCCAUCAUUCUAAGUGUAGUAACUUAACUCAGGAAUGGAAAACCAAACAUCGUGUGUUCUCACUCAUAAGUGGGAGCUAAGCUAUGAGGAUGCAAAGGUAUAAGAGUGACACAACGGACUUUGGGGACUCUGGGGGAAAGGGUGGGAAGGGGAUAGCUUGUAAUUCAGUGGGACUGUUUCUGUGUGCCCUGGUGGAAAGGUUUCGCUCUGGGGAAUGAGGAUCCCUGACCCUGCAGAAUACAGAGGUGUGGAAAUGGAAGCACCCAGUUCCCGGUGGGCCAGUGAGUGAUGAUGAGGGGACUCCUGCUUCUGUCCUUCGGCUCCUGGUCCCAUGUGCUUGUUCCACCUGUUGGGCAUACACUGUCACAGGCAGACACAAUGCAUGUGCUCGUCCUGGAGGAUGACCCCCAUGUGACAGAGUCCUGCCCUGGAACACCCCAUUCAGAAGCUGCAACCUGACCAUGUUGGCACUGCCAGCCACACUCUGGUGCUCAGUGGAGCCUUUGGCUGGCAGCGCCAACAUGGUCAGGCCUGCAGCUUCCGAAUGCAGUGUUCUGCGGUAGGGCCAGUGGGCCCUUGGUCCUGGGUUCUCUCCUACAGCUCUUCAGCUGCAAAGUGGUCCCCUGGUCUGAUGGGAUGUUGCAUGGGGUCCAUGCUGGCGGCUCAAGCACUAUGAAAGCUCUCACUUUGGUUGGUGUUGCUGAGGGCAGGAAAGGCCGUUUCACACCUGAGUAGGGUCUCUUCUGAUGAAAACAAACCAUCGACCCCUUUGUCUUAGUCCAUCUGGGCUGCUAUAACUCACUGCUACAGACUGGGUGGCUGAUAAACAAAAGAUACUUAUUUCUCACAGUUUUGGAGGCUGGAAAGGCCAAGAUGAAGGUGCUGGCAGAUUUGGUGUCUGGUGAGGGCCACUUCCUCAUCGAUAGCCACCUUCUCCCUGUCACCUCGUGUGGAAGAAGGGGUCAGGGACCUCUCUCGAUCUUCUUUAACAAGGGCACUAAUCCCAUUUGUGAGGGUUCCACCCUUGUGACCUCAUCACCUCUCAAAGGCCCGCCUCCUAAUAUCAUCCCCUUUGGGGUUACAAUUUCAAUGUACGAAUGUUGUCAGGAGACAUGGAUUCAGAUGACUGCACCCUUCUAAGAUGGAAUCGCCCAUGUGGACAAGGUGCCUCUACAUGGCUGGUUGGCUUCCUCCAAGGAUAGUGCCUUAUGGGGGUCAGCAAUGGUCUCUAAUGCAGUAAAGCGGAUAUUCCGGGGUGGCAGUAGCUAGAUCAGGUUUGAUAAAUGAGAGUCCAUGCUGUUGGGCCCACGUGUCCCCUGCAAGUUUGGUUACCGUGAUGACUUCAUUCACAUGCCCAUCAUGCCAGCACUGAGAUGAAGGACAGAGGUUGGCUGAUGUCAGAUGGCUGGGUCAUCUUGCCAAGAGGACUUGGCUGUUGAGGGCCCCUCUCAGGGUAGCUGUUUUCUGGUGGGAUUACGUGAUCUGCUCCCAUAGGUACAUCCUCUACCUCAGAAUUUCCUGUCCUUAAUCUUCCAAUUUUUUUCUUUUCAAGAUCCUAACCAGCUUGCCAGGCUACCCGUUGCCAGCCAUGAGCCUACAGAUUCUCUGCUGCUUCUGGCUGCUUCUCUUUCCACACAGAAUGGAUUUCCACCUGGCCUUCUUGGCCUUAUGACUCGUCGGGUCUGAUGAAGCUGCACGGCCACUUGGCAUGACCUGCUCAGGCAUUCUGCCUCUAUUAUACAGAGACAGAAGGCACUCCAGUGGCAUUCAGAGAAUUGUUCUCAGAAAGUGUAAUUCCCUGUGCAAAUGGUACGGCCUUGCCCCAGAAGCCCAGGGGCUGACGUAGCGAUUCUCCUACUUCAGUUCACCAUAAACUCCGAUGACAUAUUUUUCUGCUGCAGAUUCUUCCAUCCCAGUAGAGUCUGCUGGAUCCUAUAGCCCGAGCCACAGGACUGCUUGCACAGCAGCCUGAACCUGCUGCAGAGCCCUUUCCCAAUCUGGGCCCCACUCAAAGCUAGUGACCUUGUGCUUACCCCAGGAUGUGGGCUGGCACAGUAUUGCUAGGGGUGUGAGGUGUGCUCCCCCUAGAACCUGAACUCAUCAGCACUGUCCUUUCUUCUCUGUAAAGAGAUACAGGUUGCAACAAUUUGACUUUCCCUUGGAAGGAUGUUCUGACCACGACACCCCUAAAAAGGAUCAAUACGUGGCGGGCCCCUGAGACUUCAGGGAAUUCACCUCCCACCUUCUGGAGUGUAUGGAUCUUACCAAGGCCUCGAGUGGUCUGGCUCCUUCUUGCCUAACUGCUGCAGUCAACAUGAUGUCAUUGAUGAGACAGAUCACUCUGCUUUUCUGUGGGACAUCAAAAUGAUCCAGACGCUUCUGCUUCUAUAACCACAGAGGGCAGGAGACCUAGCACAGGCCCGGAGCUAACUGCAAAUGUAUAUCGUUCUCCAUUCCAUGCGAACGGGAACUAUUUCUGAUCCUCCUUUAUGAUUGGGAUAGAACAAAAUGCAUUUGUCAAACCAGUGGCUGCAUACCACAUCUUUGAGGCCAUGGUAACCUGCUCUAGCAAAGGUACCACCUGCAGUGUGGUGAUGCGGUCCAGGCUCCUUCUCAGUGGAGCGAAGGUAGUUUACACCAUCCUCCAGGAUCUUGUGGGUUAAAAAGACACAUGAUGGGAACCAGCACCCCUGCCCCCUUUAUCUCCUUAAAGGUGGUGCUAAUUCCCAUCAUCCCCCUUUCCUGGAAUGUGCUGUUGUUUCUGAUUUAUUACACUGCUCAAGGCGGAGUUCGUUUCUAAGGCUUCCACUUGGCGUUCCCCAUUUCAAAAGCUCUCACCCCACAGACCAAGGAUCCAAGGUGGAGAUCGCACCAAUUGUUCAGUGUGCCGGUUCCAGCUAUUCCUUUGGGGGUCAAAGAAACCAAUUCCCAGCGACUCAGGGGCUUGAUAGUGAGGUGGCCCUUGGAAAGGGCUCCACGAUCGACCUGGUGUCUGUCAUCCCCACUCCAGGAGGGCCGGGGAUGCCUCAUGUCUCUAGUCAAAGUCAGUUCAGGUUUGGUCCCCAACGGACUUCAGAAUGUUUGGUUAUUGGCUCUAUUAGCCAUGUGUGAUCGGCUGACUGAAUGACCAAACCCCCCUCUGGGGGGAAAACUGGG
RNAcentral lists this long non-coding RNA (4797 nucleotides) under Callithrix jacchus (white-tufted-ear marmoset). RNAcentral describes it as "lncRNA (ENSCJAG00000076604.1)". Lineage: Eukaryota; Metazoa; Chordata; Mammalia; Primates; Cebidae. The record is from RNAcentral.